GACGAACGCUGGCGGCGUGCUUAACACAUGCAAGUCGAACGGAAAGGCCCUGCUUUUGUGGGGUGCUCGAGUGGCGAACGGGUGAGUAACACGUGAGUAACCUGCCCUUGACUUUGUGAUAACUUCAGGAAACUGGGGCUAAUACCGGAUAGGAGCUCCUGCUGCAUGGUGGGGGUUGGAAAGUUUCGGCGGUUGGGGAUGGACUCGCGGCUUAUCAGCUUGUUGGGGGGGUAGUGGCUUACCAAGGCUUUGAAGGGUAGCCGGCCUGAGAGGGUGACCGGCCACAUUGGGACAGAGAUAGGGCCAAGACGCAAACGGGAGGCAGGAGUGGGGAACAUUGCACAAUGGGCGGAAGCCUGAUGCAGCAACGCCGCGUGCGGGAUGACGGCUUUCGGGUUGUAAACCGCUUUCGCGUGUGACGAAGCGUGAGUGACGGUAAUGGGUAAAGAAGCACCGGCUAACUACGU
Molecule: ribosomal RNA, 467 nt
Filed under: uncultured bacterium
Lineage: Bacteria
Description: partial 16S ribosomal RNA
Rfam family: Bacterial small subunit ribosomal RNA
Source: RNAcentral